RNAcentral lists this long non-coding RNA (207 nucleotides) under Ananas comosus (pineapple). Its description in RNAcentral is "long non-coding RNA (ACOM_LNC022096)". The record is from RNAcentral. Lineage: Eukaryota; Viridiplantae; Streptophyta; Magnoliopsida; Poales; Bromeliaceae.
GAUAGUUUAGAAUGCAUUUACGCUCGUGCUGGGAUGCCGAGCUUAUUUUUACAGCAGAGUUUAUGCUGUUUCAGACUGUCGGGUGCUGUCGGGGUUGACAGUGGACCCAGAUUGCUGUUUUGGCAGUGUUUAGGCUGUUUCAGACUGUCGGGUGCUGUCGGGGUUGACAGUGGACCCAGAUUGCUGUUUUGGCAUCAGAUUGUGCCG